CCUACGGGUGGCAGCAGUGGGGAAUAUUGCACAAUGGGGGAAACCCUGAUGCAGCGACGCCGCGUGAGUGAAGAAGUACUUCUUUACGUAAAGCUCUAUCAGCAGGGAAGAAAUACUGACCUUACGGUCAUCAGCCGGUACCUGAGUAAGAAGCCCCUGCUAACUACGUGCCAGCAGCCGCGGUAAAAGGUAGGGGGCAAGCGUUUUCUGGAUUUACUGGGGGUAAAGGGGGCGUGGAGGGUGGGCCAAGUUGGGGGUGAAAGGCCGCAGCUUAAUGGCGGAACUGCUUUGGAAACUGGCGGACUAGAGUGCGGGAGGGGUAAGCGGAAUUCCUGGUGUAGCGGUGAAAUGCGUAGAUAUUAGGAGGAACACCGGUGGCGAAGGCGGCUUACUGGACCGUAACUGACGUUGAGGCUCGAAAGCGUGGGGAGCAAACAGGAUUAGAUACCAUAGUAGUC
RNAcentral lists this ribosomal RNA (458 nucleotides) under uncultured bacterium. Its description in RNAcentral is "partial 16S ribosomal RNA". It matches the Rfam family "Bacterial small subunit ribosomal RNA", at positions 338 to 795 of the family's 1533-position model. The record is from RNAcentral.